GACGAACGCUGGCGGCGUGCCUAAUACAUGCAAGUAGAACGCUGAAGGAGGAGCUUGCUUCUCUGGAUGAGUUGCGAACGGGUGAGUAACGCGUAGGUAACCUGCCUGGUAGCGGGGGAUAACUAUUGGAAACGAUAGCUAAUACCGCAUAACAGUAGAUAUCGCAUGAUAUCUACUUGAAAGGUGCAAUUGCAUCACUACCAGAUGGACCUGCGUUGUAUUAGCUAGUUGGUGAGGUAACGGCUCACCAAGGCGACGAUACAUAGCCGACCUGAGAGGGUGAUCGGCCACACUGGGACUGAGACACGGCCCAGACUCCUACGGGAGGCAGCAGUAGGGAAUCUUCGGCAAUGGACGGAAGUCUGACCGAGCAACGCCGCGGGAGUGAAGAAGGUUGUCGGAUCGUAAAGCUCUGUUGUAAGAGAAGAACGAGUGUGAGAGUGGAAAGUUCACACUGUGACGGUAGCUUACCAGAAAGGGACGGCUAACUACGUG
RNAcentral lists this ribosomal RNA (495 nucleotides) under uncultured bacterium. RNAcentral describes it as "partial 16S ribosomal RNA". It matches the Rfam family "Bacterial small subunit ribosomal RNA", at positions 28 to 507 of the family's 1533-position model. The record is from RNAcentral.